UGGGGAAUAUUCCGCAAUGGACGAAAGUCUGACGGAGCAACGCCGCGUGAGUGAUGAAGGUUUUCGGACUGUAAAACUCUGUUGUUUAGGACGAAAGUGCCUGUUGCAAAUAGUUGCAGGUAUUGACGGUACUGAACGAGGAAGCCACGGCUAACUACGUGCCAGCAGCCGCGGUAAUACGUAGGUGGCAAGCGUUGUCCGGAAUUAUUGGGCGUAAAGAGCAUGUAGGUGGGCUGUUAAGUCUGUUGUG
Molecule: ribosomal RNA, 250 nt
Filed under: uncultured bacterium
Lineage: Bacteria
Description: partial 16S ribosomal RNA
Rfam family: Bacterial small subunit ribosomal RNA
Source: RNAcentral